GGGUGCGCGUGUGUGUGUGCGCAUCUCAAUCCAUCCAAUCCAUCUAACCAUGCAUGAAUGAUGCAUCGGUGGAGCUCUGAAUGAACACGGGGAGAGGCGUGCAUGUGUGUGUGCGCGCUCACACAGACUCCAUAGCAGCAGUGAAGCUGAGAGCAUCUCCUCGGCUGGACGUCUGCACGGAGAAGAGGAAGAAAAGCAGGCAACUUUACAAUUCAAGUCAUCCUCACUGAAGUCAGCCAUGGAGCGGAAGACAAACGAGGGCUCCACCAGCACCUCUCCUCAGAAACACAUGAAGAAUCGCUCCAAAUCCAUAGAGGAGACACAGCAGUCCAAGAGAGGCAUUUCUUCACAGAAAUCGCUCCCAGGAAGACCAGAGCUGGACAGAGUGAAGGAGUGCCUUGAGGCUUCUGAAACGCCCUCGGCCUCCACUGAGGAAUUAAAGGGAUGAACAAAUAGCCAAGUAAUCUUGUCAUCAAUCAUAUACCGUACGAAUAUAUGGAACAAAAUUGUAAUAAAAAGCCAGCGAUAAAUUCAAAAUGUGUUACAUGACCUACAUACCGUAAGCAGUCACAAAAACAUAGAUCUACAUUAAGACAUUGCAUGUGAAGAGAACAUGUUUUUAUCCAGUUCUCCAGUUUGUUUGUUUUUUAGGCUGAAGAACUUUUUUUUUUUUUUCUUCUAAACCUCUCCUGAUUUUGAUCUAAGAAUGGCCAGUUUAUCGGUCGGGCUCCAACUGUUAACAUUGCAAAAUGUGCAUUGACAUGAACAAGUGAUGUCAUUGGGUGUAUUCAUUAAAUUUGUCCUAAACAACAAGCCUAUGAGAGGUUAUGAAACAUUUUAUCUAUCGAUCGAUCGAUCUAUCUAUCUAUACUGUGGAAAGCUGGCUAUCUGCCAUGGAAGAUGAAUAUCUUUUUGAGUGCAUGCUGUCGCCAAUGAACAAAAUCAUCGAUUACUAUAUUUAGUUUGUAUCUCUUGGCCUGCUACCAGCAGAAGGUGUAAUUAUGGAACAUUGUUACUGCUAAUGUAUCAAAUUGUGGGUUAGUGUUGGUUCACUAUUCUCUGCUGCACCAAUUGUGUAAAAGUUCAUCCGCUUAGUUUGGUGAACCACUCAUACAUGCAAUGUAUACCUACAACACAAUGUUAAAACCAUUAUGUGCUAUUCAAACCAUUUUUUUUUCUCCAACUGAGCUCUUAUAAAGGCUCUCCUUGUAGUAGGUGAUGGUUUUGUCAAACAUUAAUAAAAUCCUCUACCC
Molecule: long non-coding RNA, 1253 nt
Organism: Syngnathus acus (greater pipefish)
Lineage: Eukaryota; Metazoa; Chordata; Actinopteri; Syngnathiformes; Syngnathidae
Exons: 5
Source: RefSeq, a predicted model, not a curated record